Molecule: non-coding RNA, 72 nt
Organism: Cydia pomonella (codling moth)
Lineage: Eukaryota; Metazoa; Arthropoda; Insecta; Lepidoptera; Tortricidae
Source: the annotation of a RefSeq genome assembly
GCCCAGGUGGCCGAGGGGUCUUGGCAUCUGUCGUGAAUACAGAGGACGCUGGUUUGAUUCCAGCCCUGGGCA